RNAcentral lists this ribosomal RNA (253 nucleotides) under uncultured bacterium. RNAcentral describes it as "partial 16S ribosomal RNA". It matches the Rfam family "Bacterial small subunit ribosomal RNA", at positions 524 to 776 of the family's 1533-position model. The record is from RNAcentral.
UACGGAGGGGGCUAGCGUUGUUCGGAAUUACUGGGCGUAAAGGGCGCGUAGGCGGCCUGCUAAGUCGAACGUGAAAUCCCCGGGCUCAACCCGGGAACUGCGUCCGAUACUGGUUGGCUUGAAUCCGGGAGAGGGAUGCGGAAUUCCAGGUGUAGCGGUGAAAUGCGUAGAUAUCAAGAGGAACACCGGAGGUGAAGACGGGUUGCUGGGCCAACACUGACGCUGAGGCGCGAAAGCCAGGGGAGCAAACGGG